This is a long non-coding RNA of Sapajus apella (tufted capuchin), 400 nucleotides long. RefSeq lists it as uncharacterized. NCBI's taxonomy places the organism in Eukaryota, Metazoa, Chordata, Mammalia, Primates, Cebidae. The record is from RefSeq and is a predicted model, not a curated record. The transcript is spliced from 3 exons.
UCCAGAUGGAGAGCCUCAAAUUGUCGGCAGAUUUUUUGAAAUUCCCCUGGAAUUUGUAUUGGUGAUGCAGAGUUUGGUGCAGACUGACAAUUUUCAUGAGGUCACAGUUCACUCUUCAGUGAAUAACCCCAUGGAGGGCAGGGCAGACCAAAUAAGAAAUGGAAUGAAAAAAUGAAGAUGGGCACUGCAUCUGUGAUGGGAUAAAUCAGCCAGUCCCCUUUUCUUCUCUUUUUGGUUCUUCAGUACCUUCAAAGGGAGCCAUAAGUAAAGCACAAACAGAAUCAGCUUUCAAAAGCUCCCUGGCUUCCCACCUCUGCUGUGGGCUUCCUGUGGGAAACAGGGAACCGCUGGCCUGCGGGAGAGGAAUCAACUAUUUCCCAGAGCCACUGGGAGAGCACUU